GUUUAUAUUUUAUUUAUUUAUCUUUAUUGAUGUUUUCCUGAAAAUAACAUAAUAUAUUUUAAGUUUUUCAAAUUUAAAUGCACAGCAUUUAGGUCUCCAAAUUGAUUUGUAGUGGCUAAAGAAUCUUUCAAUGUCGACCAAGGAUAAUUGGACCUAUUGUAUAGUUGAUAUAUGUACAUGGUGUAAAUUAAAUACCCAUUGAUGUUUUCAUUUUUAUUCAGAAGAAUAUUUCUAAUAAGUUUUAACAUAAUUAUGGUUAUUGUCAAUAUAACUGUUACAUUUAAU
This is a non-coding RNA of Cinara cedri, 285 nucleotides long. The record is from the annotation of a GenBank genome assembly. NCBI's taxonomy places the organism in Eukaryota, Metazoa, Arthropoda, Insecta, Hemiptera, Aphididae.